AACGAACGCUGGCGGCAGGCCUAACACAUGCAAGUCGAGCGCCCCGCAAGGGGCGCGGCGGACGGGUGAGUAACGCGUGGGAACGUACCCUUUGCUACGGAAUAGCCUCGGGAAACUGGGAGUAAUACCGUAUGUGUCCUUCGGGAGACAGAUUUAUCGGCAAGGGAUCGGCCCGCGUUGGAUUAGGUAGUUGGUGGGGUAAUGGCCUACCAAGCCGACGAUCCAUAGCUGGUUUGAGAGGAUGAUCAGCCACACUGGGACUGAGACACGGCCCAGACUCCUACGGGAGGCAGCAGUGGGGAAUCUGAGACAAUGGGCGCAAGCCUGAUCUAGCCAUGCCGCGUGAGCGAUGAAGGCCUUAGGGUUGUAAAGCUCUUUCAGGGGGGAAGAUAAUGACUGUACCCCCAGAAGAAGCCCCGGCUAACUCCGUG
This 431-nucleotide ribosomal RNA is filed under the name uncultured bacterium. RNAcentral's name for it is "partial 16S ribosomal RNA". It matches the Rfam family "Bacterial small subunit ribosomal RNA", at positions 29 to 507 of the family's 1533-position model. The record is from RNAcentral.